Molecule: ribosomal RNA, 414 nt
Filed under: uncultured microorganism
Description: bacterial SSU rRNA
Rfam family: Archaeal small subunit ribosomal RNA
Source: RNAcentral
CAGCAGCCGCGGUAAUACCGGCGGCCCGAGUGGCGGCCACUAUUAUUGGGCUUAAAGCGUCCGUAGCCGGGUUGGUUAGUCUCCCGGGAAAUCUGGCCGCUUAACGGUCAGAAUUCCGGGAGAUACUGCCAGCCUAGGGACCGGGAGAGGCCGAGGGUAUUCCCGGAGUAGGGGUGAAAUCCUAUAAUCCCGGGAGGACCACCUGUGGCGAAGGCGCUCGGCUGGAACGCGCCCGACGGGGAGGGGCGAAAGCCGGGGGAGCGAACCGGAUUAGAUACCCGGGUAGUCCCGGCUGUAAACGAUGCGGGCUAGCUGUGGGGUGGGCUUAGAGCCCACCCAGUGGCGCAGGGAAGCCGUUAAGCCCGCCGCCUGGGGAGUACGGCCGCAAGGCUGAAACUUAAAGGAAUUGGCGGG